CGCAUGCCAGGCGAGCGCGCUACCGCUUGAGCCACAUCCCCAGCCCCUCAAAAUUUAUUUUUAUUUAAAAUUUUAUUCCAGUCUGGGAAUUGAACCUAGGGUCUCAUGCAUGCUAGGAAAAUGCUUUACCACUAAGACACAACCUGCCCCACAUUCUUUUUAAAUAUAUAAAACAUAUUUUUAAGAUUCACCAAAUGCAAGGCUAUAAACAAUUAAAAUUGCAGGGUAUGGCUUCUGACUGAAGUGGAAUUAAACUAGAAAUCCAUACCACAAAGAUAACUGGUGUAAUUCUCACUUCUUUGGCAUUGAUGAAGAACCUACCCCCACCCCCCACCGCCCCCACCACCACCAGUACUGGGGAUUGAACCCAGGGGAGCUUUAUCACUUAGUUACAUCCCCAUCCUUUUUAAAUUUUUGAGUCAGAAUCUCACUAAAUUACUAAGACUUGCCUCCAGCUUUUGAUCCUCCUGCCUCAGCCUCCCCAGUCUCUGGGAUUAUAGGCAAGCAGCAUUGUACCUGGCAAUGAAGAAAACUUUUAAAUAAGAACAGAGGAAGUUCUGGAAAAGAUAGCAAGGUUUUUGCUUUUCCCAGCAUUUAGCGCGUAGGAGGGAGCCUCUGUCUGUCCACAUUUCCAAGACAUUGUUGCUGAGAAGGAAAAAAAAAAUGAGAGAAAAAAUAGUUUAGAGAAACUUACAGAAGCAAAAUGGAAAACAAGAGAUUCUUAUCUGGACUGAACUUUGGGUGUUCAGAUUUCUUGAGAAAAUACUUGUUAAAGGGCAUUUGACACAUUCUGGGCAUUAUAACAAACCAAGUGAGAAAGUGAAGAUCAAGUGACUCCCACUGCUGCCUUGGAAGAGGUGACAAGUGACCACAUUCCCACAUUCCCUACAGGGAUGGAGACCAUCCCUGUAGCCAGCAAACUGGCCAGCUGAGUCAAGGACGUCAACUGUGAACCUUCUCCUUUUUAUUAUUUCUUCUUCUUGGAUUUUAUUAUUGUCUCUGCUCUUUGUUUCUCUCCAUACACUAAGUCACUGAGACUGACUGCUUCGCAGGCGGCCAACGGAUGAGCUAUUCUUCAAACUCUAAUGUGACUAAUUUUUUUAUUAGUUAAAUAAUGCAUUGAUGGAAAAGAUGAAUUAGAACAAUAGAAAGGAAUUUACUGAAAAUAAAUGCAUGUAUUUCCUAUCUUCCAAUGUAGUCCUAAUUCUAGAAAGUAAUAAACAAGUUAUGAUUUUAAUAUUUUGGCUUUCUUCACUUAAUUGUAACCAUUUAAUAUUUUUUAUUUUAUAUAACCUCUGUUGUGUUACUUUCUUCUGUCUUUUCCUUUUUAGAUUUUUAGAAAACAAGUUUAACGUCACAGACUGGUAGAUUAAAUAUUUAAAACAGAUAAAUUAGUGGGGUUCUGAAAGAUCUUUAUCUCUAUAGUUGAACUUGAUUAUUGAUUAGCCUUAGACAUGUUUCAAUUUUUUAAUUUGUUCAUUUUAGAUAUUCAUGACAGUAGAGUGUAUUUUGAUGUAUUUUACAUGCAUGGAGUAUAACUUAUUCUACUUAGGUUCCCAUUCUUGUGGUUGUAC
RNAcentral lists this long non-coding RNA (1574 nucleotides) under Marmota monax (woodchuck). The record is from RNAcentral. Lineage: Eukaryota; Metazoa; Chordata; Mammalia; Rodentia; Sciuridae.